GAGGAACUUUGUAUUUGUGGCGGGUCUGUACGUCACGUGGGCCAGGUUGAAAAAAAAAAAAAAAAAAAUGGCACGUUUUUCGCAACUCUGUUUUCAAAAUGGCUUUUAAAAUCGGCCCCGGGGCGUGACAAGUAGGCAGUAUUAUGCUCUUUUAAAAUUUGUAUAUUUAUAUUUUAUAUUUGAAAAGUAUAAGGACAAAUAUAUAUAGAGUAAGACUACUAUGCUAUCGGAAGCACGUAGCCUUUCGUGCUUCCAGCUCGUUUUCGAUGUUGCGACUUUUGAAUCGUCGAUCGGCUCCAUUAAACUUGAUCUAGAGUAUUUGAAGUACCUAGAAAAUAAAUUAUGUAAUUUUUUGAUAUUAUGUGCUUAGUGAACGAAGGGGCUCAAAAUCAACGGCUGAAAAUAAAAAUCUUACAAAACGUGAUAAUAUGACGUUAAAAUUUUAGAUCAAAAAUAUUGAACUUGUUUUAUAUAGCAUAAAGAAUUUUCUAUCAAAGUUUCACGUGAUUUGGAUACUUCUACACUGUUAAACUUGCAAACGGCUCACUGCGACCAUUAAAAUUAUUAAUUUUGAGCCCCUUCGAUCACUAGGCAAAUGAUAUCAAAAAAUCAUAAAAUUUAUUUUCUAGAUGCUUCAAAUACUCUAGAUCAAGUUUAACGGAGCCGAUCGACGAUUCGAAAGUCGCAACAUUGAAAACGAGCUGGAAGCACGGAAGGCUCCGUGCUUCCGAUAGCAUAGUAGCCUCAC
RNAcentral lists this long non-coding RNA (748 nucleotides) under Ananas comosus (pineapple). RNAcentral's name for it is "long non-coding RNA (ACOM_LNC027022)". The record is from RNAcentral. Lineage: Eukaryota; Viridiplantae; Streptophyta; Magnoliopsida; Poales; Bromeliaceae.